AGAGUUUGAUUCUGGCUCAGAAUGAACGCUGGCGGCGUGGAUAAGACAUGCAAGUCGAACGAAAAAGAGAAUAGUUUACUAAUUUCUUUUUAGUGGCGGACGGGUUAGUAACACGUGAGUAACUUGCCUCAGAGUGGGGGAUAGUCCUGGGAAACUGGGUUUAAUACCGCAUACGACCUUCGGGUUAAAGCUAGCUUCGGCUGGUGCUUUGAGAUAGGCUCGCGUCCUAUCAGCUAGUUGGUGAGGUAAAAGCUCACCAAGGCGACGACGGGUAGUUGGUCUGAGAGGACGACCAGCAACACUGGAACUGAGACACGGUCCAGACACCUACGGGUGGCAGCAGUCGAGAAUCAUUCACAAUGGGGGCAACCCUGAUGGUGCAACGCCGCGUGGAGGAUGAAGGCCCUAGGGUCGUAAACUCCUGUCAUAAUAGAGUAAGACAUAGUCGUUAAUAGCUUCUAUGUUUGAUAGUAUAUUAAGAGGAAGGGACGGCUAACUUCGUGCCAGCAGCCGCGGUAAUACGAAGGUCCCGAGCGUUAUUCGGAAUCACUGGGCGUAAAGAGUACGUAGGCGGUUUGGUAAGUCAGGUGUGAAAUCCCGAAGCUCAACUUCGGAACUGCAUCCGAUACUGCCAGACUAGAGUAAUGGAGGGGCAGGUGGAAUUCUCGGUGUAGCAGUGAAAUGCGUAGAUAUCGAGAGGAAGACCAAUGGCGAAGGCAGCCUGCUGGACAUUUACUGACGCUGAGGUACGAAGGCUAGGGUAGCGAAAGGGAUUAGAUACCCCUGUAGUCCUAGCAGUAAACGGUGCGCGCUUGGUGUAGGAGGACUCGACCCCUUCUGUGCCGGAGCUAACGCGUUAAGCGCGCCGCCUGGGGAGUACGGUCGCAAGACUAAAACUCAAAGAAAUUGACGGGGACCCGCACAAGCGGUGGAGUAUGUGGCUUAAUUCGAU
This 952-nucleotide ribosomal RNA is filed under the name marine sediment metagenome. RNAcentral describes it as "bacterial SSU rRNA". It matches the Rfam family "Bacterial small subunit ribosomal RNA", at positions 8 to 955 of the family's 1533-position model. The record is from RNAcentral.